CUACGGGGGGCUGCAGUGGGGAAUAUUGCACAAUGAGCGAAAGCUUGAUGCAGCCAUACCGCGUGUGUGAAGAAGGCCCGAGGGUUGUAAAGCACUUUCAAUUGUGAGGAAGGUUCAGUAGUUAAUACCUGCUGUUCUUGACGUUAACUUUAGAAGAAGCACCGGCUAACUCUGUGCCAGCAGCCGCGGUAAUACAGAGGGUGCAAGCGUUAUUCGGAAUUACUGGGCGUAAAGCGCGCGUAGGCGGAUUAUUAAGUCAGUUGUGAAAGCCCUGGGCUCAACCUUGGAACUGCAUCUGAUACUGGUAGUCUAGAGUUUAAGAGAGGGAAGUGGAAUUCCAGGUGUAGCAGUGAAAUGCGUAGAUAUCUGGAGGAACAUCAGUGGCGAAGGCGACUUCCUGGCUUAAAACUGACGCUGAGGUGCGAAAGCGCGGGUAGCGAACGGGAUUAGAUACCCCCGUAGUC
RNAcentral lists this ribosomal RNA (464 nucleotides) under uncultured bacterium. RNAcentral's name for it is "partial 16S ribosomal RNA". It matches the Rfam family "Bacterial small subunit ribosomal RNA", at positions 339 to 795 of the family's 1533-position model. The record is from RNAcentral.